Molecule: non-coding RNA, 1660 nt
Organism: Paramuricea clavata
Lineage: Eukaryota; Metazoa; Cnidaria; Anthozoa; Malacalcyonacea; Plexauridae
Source: the annotation of a GenBank genome assembly
CUUCCGUAUAGUCGUGAUAAAACUUCUACCACAAUUGAACCAACUGUACAGCUGACAGCAGAUGCUUAUUUGUGACUUUUCAUUCUAAGAAGAUUGGCUUUAACAAAAUUUUCCUCCCGCUUCAACUUUUACGACAAAGUCAAAGACGGAAUUUUAUGCAUACUUCUAUGCAACUCCGUAUCCAUUGGACGACGACGGCUGUUUAAUACCGGUUUAUUUACAAUACAAUUUUGAACUUCAAUUACAGUGACAGACUUGAGAAGCCUUUGGAACCUAAACAAAUUUCCGGAAGAAAUACUGCGGUCGAUUUUAAAUAAAACUGACUGUUGGGAAUAUAUAUUUUAAAGGAGGUUAAAAAACGGAAAGUAAAACAGCGAAAACUCGACAGCAAUGUUGAAUUUUGUAUCAAUACGGCGGCUGAUUACAUUGUCAAGCAAUGCCAGAGAGUUGACACGCUGCAGAUAUUUAAAUUAUUUCACUCCCGAAGAUCUCAUCCCGUAUGCAGGAAAAUUUACAAAUACUGGAGCAAUGAAGACACAACCGAAACAAACUAAAUUUGGUUUGAUAAAGGUGUUCCUUCUUACUGUACCUGCAGUCCUAUUUGGCGCUUUUGUUUCGAACAAAGGCGCAGAAAUCUUAGAGGAAAGUGAAUUGUUUGUUCCAGAUGAUUAAAUUUACACAAUCGACCGAUAUCAAGUUUGGCUGAAUUUGAACAUGGGUAUAAUAAAAGAACUGUAUAGGAAACUCAUGACCAUGUUACAUGUAUGACAUUUCCAGCGAGGACAUAUUGCCCCUCAAUGUAGUUAAAAAAUUAUGACCUCGCCAAAUCAAAAAGUAUACACGUCUAUUAAUGCCGUAAUGCUUUAACAAAUUACUCCUAAAACAGAAUUACAGACAACCAUUCAAGUUGGUUAUGCAGACGAGCAGGUUUUCUAUAUGACAAGUUAGUUUGAUGUUUGAUGCAAGAUUUAUUUGCUCGUCUGUAUAUACGAAUACGAACUUUGACAAUUUUUACUGUGACAAGUACACUUGACCUAGCAUGCAUGCUACAAUCCUGACAAAAAUUAUCGUGGAGAGCGCGUGCGUCAAACAAAGCUAUAUGUAUUUCUACAGAAUUUAUCUCACUGAAAAAAUUCUCCCCCUCCUACCCCCAAUUCAGUGUUGGCAAUUCAUCUGAACAUACUUUUAAAAUUGAAAUGCGGCAAACAACAUUGAACAAGGGUCUGGGGGGCGGCAAAUUUCAUGAAAUUAUGUCGCAAUGUUAAUGUUGCCAUUAUUGACGAUAAAACAGUUAGGUGUUCACAAAAGUGUCCACAUAAUUUUUGCCAGGAUUGUAGCUUUUUAACAAGUAUACUUGUCACAGUAAAAAUUGUCAAAGCACACAUUUGGCUCGUCCGUAUAGAUCAGCAAAGAAAAGAUGUUAAGUAAUCACUUGCAUAUGCAGUUGGUGAGCGAUCUCUUGUUGCAAUGGGUAAUAGUAGCUAUCUAGUUCAUAGAAAACUUGCUCGUCAAUAACGGGCUUUAAUUUGUCUGAGUUUAGUCCGCUAGUCUAUCAUGCAUUGUAAGACCAGAGCUGUACGGAGGAUUUAUCUCCAGAGGGCAGUAAUACUUAUAUGAUGAAAUAAAAUACCAAAAUGUAGGCCUAAAUGCAUUCCAAGGC